GACGGGUAACGGGGAAUUAGGGUUCGAUUCCGGAGAGGGAGCCUGAGAAACGGCUACCACAUCUAAGGAAGGCAGCAGGCGCGCAAAUUACCCAAUGAAAACAGUUUCGAGGUAGUGACGAGAAAUAACAAUACAGGGCAUUAUAUGCUUUGUAAUUGGAAUGAUGGGAAUGUAAAACCCUCUCAGAGUAACAAUUGGAGGGCAAGUCUGGUGCCAGCAGCCGCGGUAAUUCCAGCUCCAAUAGCGUAUAUUAGAGUUGUUGCAGUUAAAAAGCUCGUAGUUGGAUUUCUGUCGUGGUCAUCCGGUACCGCCCGUAUGGGUGUGCGCCAGGACUGACCUCGGCAUUCUUCCGGUAGCCUGCCGCUCUUUAUUGCGUGGCAGGUGUUCCGGAACUUUUACUUUGAGAAAAAUAGAGUGUUUCAAGCAGGCUUGUCGCCCUGAAUACUGCAGCAUGGAAUAAUAAGAUAGGACCUUGGUUCUAUUUUGUUGGCUUCUAGGACUGAGGUAAUGAUUAAUAGGGACAGUUGGGGGCAUUCGUAUUUAACUGUCAGAGGUGAAAUUCUUA
This 565-nucleotide ribosomal RNA is filed under the name Caryospora sp. DB2236. RNAcentral's name for it is "SSU rRNA". It matches the Rfam family "Eukaryotic small subunit ribosomal RNA", at positions 354 to 922 of the family's 1831-position model. Lineage: Eukaryota; Apicomplexa; Conoidasida; Eucoccidiorida; Eimeriidae. The record is from RNAcentral.